UCCAGACUCCUACGGGAGGCAGCAGUGGGGAAUAUUGCACAAUGGGGGAAACCCUGAUGCAGCAACGCCGCGUGAGUGAAGAAGUAUUUCGGUAUGUAAAGCUCUCUCAGCAGGGAAGAAGAUGACGGUACCUGAGUAAGAAGCCCCGGCUAACUACGUGCCAGCAGCCGCGGUAAUACGUAGGGGGCAAGCGUUAUCCGGAUUUACUGGGUGUAAAGGGAGCGCAGACGGUGAGACAAGUCUGAAGUGAAAGCCCGGGGCUCAACCCCGGGACUGCUUUGGAAACUGCCUGACUGGAGUGCUGGAGAGGCAAGCGGAAUUCCUAGUGUAGCGGUGAAAUGCGUAGAUAUUAGGAAGAACACCAGUGGCGAGGGCGGCUUGCUGGACAGUAACUGACGUUGAGGCUCGAAAGCGUGGGGAGCAAACAGGAUUAGAUACCCGAGUAA
Molecule: ribosomal RNA, 446 nt
Filed under: uncultured bacterium
Lineage: Bacteria
Description: bacterial SSU rRNA
Rfam family: Bacterial small subunit ribosomal RNA
Source: RNAcentral